GUGCCUGCUUCCCCUUUGCCUUCCGCCAUGACUGGCAGCCGAUAAGGAAACAGUUUGCUAUAAUCCCCUCUGCUUAUACAACUUGCUGGAACAGGUUGGAACCAAUAUGGCUGACUGGAGCCUGUGCAAAAUAGACUUACUAGCCCGAGGAGCGGCCCUUUGAUGUCACAGCCCAAAUUCCCACAGCUUGUUUUAUACCACCUCCUGAAUCUGCAUGUGACCCUUGAAGCAGCAUGAAGAAGCAACAGCUCAUGACCAAGAGAUUUUCUAAACACUUCUUCGUUUCAGCCAAUCACCGUCCAGCCCGAAACUCCACUUCCAAAAUCUCUCCCUUAAAUCUACUGCUGCGAAGCAAGUAUUGGGAGACAGAUUUGAGCCCGUCUUCUGUCCCCUUGCAAGGCUGCUUGGCAAUACAUCUUUCUUGCUACAAAAAUCCAAUGCUUGGGUGUUUGGUUUUAUGUUGUGCGCAGGCAAAUGCAGCCGGUUUAGUUUGGUAACACGUGAUGUCACUUAAUACACAAGAAACGGGCAAGAUAUGGCAUCCUCAGGGAGCUGUGCCUCACUCAUUCCUAUCCAUAGACUUGCCUUCUUUCAACAACGCAAGCAAAAAGAAGGGUUCAUUUGGGUUGGUUCCAAGUCUUUGCUAUUGUGAA
Molecule: long non-coding RNA, 653 nt
Filed under: Homo sapiens (human)
Lineage: Eukaryota; Metazoa; Chordata; Mammalia; Primates; Hominidae
Description: HSALNT0340588
Source: RNAcentral